This 523-nucleotide ribosomal RNA is filed under the name uncultured bacterium. RNAcentral's name for it is "bacterial SSU rRNA". It matches the Rfam family "Bacterial small subunit ribosomal RNA", at positions 338 to 851 of the family's 1533-position model. The record is from RNAcentral.
CCUACGGGAGCAGCAGUAGGGAAUAUUGGGCAAUGGUCGCAAGACUGACCCAGCCACGCCGCGUGCAGGAAGAAGAAUCUCUGAUUUGUAAACUGCUUUAGCAGGGGAAGAAAAAGGGCGUGCGCGCUCAACUGACGGUACCCUGAGAAUAAGCACCGGCUAACUCCGUGCCAGCAGCCGCGGUAAUACGGGGGGUGCAAGCGUUGUCCGGAUUUAUUGGGUUUAAAGGGUGCGUAGGCGGCCCAUUAAGUGAAUGUUUAAAGUUUUCAGCUUAACUGAAGGAAUGGCAUUCAUACUGAUGGGCUUGAAUAUGGUUAAGGUAGGCGGAAUUUAUGGUGUAGCGGUGAAAUGCUCAGAUACCGAUAAGGAACACCGAUAGCGAAGGCAGCUUACCGAGCCAUGAUUGACGCUGAGGCACGAAAGUGUGGGGAUCAAACAGGAUUAGAUACCCCUGGUAGUCCCACACUAGUAACGAUAGUAUUACUACGUAUGUUGGUCGAUAUACUAGUACAGCGUCCGUACG